This is a long non-coding RNA of Homo sapiens (human), 1575 nucleotides long. The record is from Ensembl. Lineage: Eukaryota; Metazoa; Chordata; Mammalia; Primates; Hominidae.
ACUUUGUUGAGUUUCGCGGUGUCGCUGUGCUUGGAAAGACAAUUUCCUUUUCAGCAGCACUGGUAUGGACUUUGGAUGAUCUUGCCUGCUUCUUCAUUUCUCUCUUUCUCAUGAAAGCCUUUCUCUUCUCGGCUGUCAGAAAUCUUGAAAGGUCAUACAAAAAGGCAUACGGAAAGAAGCCCAGCGAGAAGAGUUUUCCUGCUGAUGAAGACAGAAAAGGCACUGCAGCAGAUCCUGCUGGGACAGGUCCCAGGGAGAGAGCACGAGCGUUGAAACCUGCACCAGCAGCCCGGGCGAGGCGGCUCCUUGUGCUAGGGCGCCCUCUAGAGCCGGAGAGCGGAAGCGGCGCGGGCGGCGGGCGGCAGGCGGCGCCUCUGCACCCAAGAAGCGCUUACCCCCAAAACAUAUGCUGGGCCCCAGGUGCCUGCCCUGGGUAACCAGCACGAACGAACAGAGAUACCCCAGGCUGUGUAAAUCCUUGGUGAUCCCCUAGAUUCAUCCUUUGAGUUUUAAAACCGAGAAACUUGAUAUCCAGAGAAGAAAGACCCUUUUGAGGCCAGGAUUCCAUGGGAGGAAGACCCUCUCCUCAGCCCCUUAAUACCCACCCUCCCCAGCCAACAGGACCCUUGGGGAAGAAAACCCUCUCCCCCACCCCUCAUACCUCCCCCCAGAUCCCCCAUUCCCUCAGGGGAAGGAAGACCCUCUCCCCCACCCCCUCGCGAGCCCCCCUCCCACCCCAGACAACAGGAUCCUUGGGGAGGAAGACCCUCUCCUCCCUCAAACCCCUCCUCAGCCAACAGGACCCUGGAGGAGGAAGAGCCCCUCCUCCACAUCCCACAACACCCCCCUCAGCCAACAGGACGCUGGGGAAGGAAGACCCUCUUUCCCACCCUUCACGACCACCCCCAAUUCCCCAGCCCCAGCCAACAGGACAGAUGAGGUGCAGGCAGGCUCAUGGGUUCGGUGGAGGGAGUUUGGGAUCACCCCAAAGCUUUUUCCAUUUUCGGGGUCAGCAGCCUGGCUGGUGGCCAGAACCAGCCAGUUCUGUGAGAACACUGGAGGCAUGAGCAGCCCCUGCCAAGCAAGUGGCAGCAGCCUGGCCAGGGAGGCGUGGGUGUCACAAGUGAAGGGCCCAGUGGGGCCGGGGGCUGUGACCACAUGUGGAGGGCCGGGGCCUGGGCCGGGGGCUUCCUCUCUUGGGGCUGAGGUUUGCUCAUCUGUGAGUCAGGCUGAGGCACCCAUGCCUUGGGGUGGCCUUGAGGUUAAGGGGUCUGUUUGUGUGAAAUGCUCAGGGCUGGGCCUGCCCUCAGCACACUCAACAGGUGACAGAGACCGUGACCAUGAUGUCGGACCCGUCAGCCGCCCUUACAGGUGAGCACAUCGCACAUCCAGGGGGAGCUGGUGAUGACAUCACCUGGUCCUCACCUGAAGCAGCUGAACCUCUGAGACCCUGGGCAGCACUGUUCACGCUUCCCUUAUUUUCCGUACCUCACUGCUGCCUGAAGCCCCAAAUAUACAGCUUGGGUAAACCAUUUCCCCUGAAUUGUGUUCACAGAUUAAAAGAUGCUAAUGGGA